GUGCCAGCAGCCGCGGUAAUACGGAGGGUGCAAGCGUUAAUCGGAAUUACUGGGCGUAAAGCGCGCGUAGGUGGCUUGAUAAGCCGGUUGUGAAAGCCCCGGGCUCAACCUGGGAACGGCAUCCGGAACUGUCAAGCUAGAGUGCAGGAGAGGAAGGUAGAAUUCCCGGUGUAGCGGUGAAAUGCGUAGAGAUCGGGAGGAAUACCAGUGGCGAAGGCGGCCUUCUGGACUGACACUGACACUGAGGUGCGAAAGCGUGGGUAGCAAACAGGAUUAGAUACCCUGGUAGUCCACGCCGUAAACGAUGUCGACCAGCCGUUGGGUGCCUAGAGCACUUUGUGGCGAAGUUAACGCGAUAAGUCGACCGCCUGGGGAGUACGGCCGCAAGGUUAAAACUCAAAUGAAUUGACGG
Molecule: ribosomal RNA, 412 nt
Filed under: Halomonas sp.
Lineage: Bacteria; Pseudomonadati; Pseudomonadota; Gammaproteobacteria; Oceanospirillales; Halomonadaceae
Description: bacterial SSU rRNA
Rfam family: Bacterial small subunit ribosomal RNA
Source: RNAcentral